This 76-nucleotide transfer RNA is filed under the name Clostridia bacterium. RNAcentral's name for it is "tRNA-Gln". It matches the Rfam family "tRNA". From Rfam's summary of the family: Transfer RNA (tRNA) molecules are approximately 80 nucleotides in length. The record is from RNAcentral. Lineage: Bacteria; Bacillati; Bacillota; Clostridia.
UGGGAUGUAGCCAAGUGGUAAGGCACCAGACUUUGACUCUGGCAUUCCGCAAGUUCGAACCUUGCCAUCCCAGCCA